Molecule: small nucleolar RNA, 104 nt
Organism: Suncus etruscus (white-toothed pygmy shrew)
Lineage: Eukaryota; Metazoa; Chordata; Mammalia; Eulipotyphla; Soricidae
Product: small nucleolar RNA U13
Exons: 1
Source: RefSeq, a predicted model, not a curated record
AUUUUUUUUUGGCUCAUAAGUAUAAUGAUCGGGAGUUCACACAUUUGUGUGAUAUGUGCCCCUCUUAAAUCUUGUUAGGACAUGGACACAUUAUCCUUCUGUCA